GGUGGCUCAGUGGUAGAGUGCUUGUCUUGCAUGCAUGAGGCUCUGGGUUCGAUUCCUAAGCACCA
This 65-nucleotide transfer RNA is filed under the name Dipodomys ordii (Ord's kangaroo rat). It matches the Rfam family "tRNA". From Rfam's summary of the family: Transfer RNA (tRNA) molecules are approximately 80 nucleotides in length. Their secondary structure includes four short double-helical elements and three loops (D, anti-codon, and T loops). Further hydrogen bonds mediate the characteristic L-shaped molecular structure. tRNAs have two regions of fundamental functional importance: the anti-codon, which is responsible for specific mRNA codon recognition, and the 3' end, to which the tRNAs corresponding amino acid is attached (by aminoacyl-tRNA synthetases). tRNAs cope with the degeneracy of the genetic code in two manners: having more than one tRNA (with a specific anti-codon) for a particular amino acid; and 'wobble' base-pairing, i.e. permitting non-standard base-pairing at the 3rd anti-codon position. Lineage: Eukaryota; Metazoa; Chordata; Mammalia; Rodentia; Heteromyidae. The record is from Rfam by way of RNAcentral.